Molecule: long non-coding RNA, 1240 nt
Filed under: Sinocyclocheilus grahami
Lineage: Eukaryota; Metazoa; Chordata; Actinopteri; Cypriniformes; Cyprinidae
Description: lncRNA (ENSSGRG00000040424.1)
Source: RNAcentral
UGCGCAUUUACUCCUACGUAUAUCAAUGGAAGUAGUGUUUCGUUCUCAGAUGCCACCAGAGCUACUUUACCUUGUGGUGUUAUUUAUUGUUACAAGUAAUAGAUGGACAGCACGGUUGUUAUACCUCCUGAUAAACAAUUACAGCGCUAUUUGGGCUCCCUAAGUAAGUGUAUGACUGGGUAUUUGGUUCAAAGGAUGUCCAGCUGUUUGUCCCGAUGCCGCACAAUCACGGCGUACGAAGCACAGGUUAUCACAUCUCAGCACACGGACAUGCAGAAAGCAUCCAGGCUGAUGCAGAUUGUCAUUAAAAAAGGUCAAAGUGCAUGCAGUUCGUUCCUCACAUGCCUUGGAAUUUGUGACCCGGUGUUGUAUGAGAAUGUUACUGGAUUCCCAGGUAGGACAAUCUAUCAAAAAUUAAUGAUAAAAAAAAAAAAAAAAGAUAUUUGCCACUGUCUGAAUUGUUUAUUCAUUACUCUAUUUCUUUCUGUUUCUUCUUUUCUUUCAUGCAUUUUCUAUCAUUCAGCACAAUUUAAUGAAGAGGACCAUCAACAUGUAGAGCAAAUUCCUCUCUCAGAAAAAUUGCAAUUUACACCUUGUAUUAUAAACAUACAAAACUCUUCCCUGACCAACUGUAUUAUUGGGAACAACAAUCGCCAAUGCAUUACCUGUGAACAGCAUUCUUUGCUCGCUCAGAAUGAUGCAAGCAAUGUGAAUGAAAUGCCGGAUAUUCAGAGCAGUGAUCAACUGAUCCCAGUGCAGGACACAAUAAGUAUCAACAGCAUUCAAAUGGAGAGAUCCGACAUAGAGUAUGUUAUUAUAGGCGACCAUAACAGUAUGACAGUCAUUGAGAACUCGGAGGUUGAGGAGGAUACGGAGAUUGAGCCAGAAGUGAUUGGUUAAUAGAUGUGAAAAAGCCGGACAGGAGGGCAGACUGGCAGAUUUGGAGAGCUGCAGAUUGUCAACUCGCCUUACCGGGCCUGACCUAUAAUUGGACACUGAAAGCAUAAUAUAUGCUUUAAACUGAUCAGUGCUUAGGUCCUCAGCAGGUGCUGCCAAAUGCACUGAAACAUUAUCCUUUAUCGUGGAUUUUUCUAAACCUGUGUGCCUUGAGGUGGUAAUGAUAUUUGAUACUGCCUUGAUUGUUACUGAACAUGACUGCUACUGACUGUUUUAAUGGGUACACCAAUAUUUAUUUGUUCAACAGAAAUGUAUGAAAUAAAAUACGUUGACUGGCACUGCA